AGAACGAACGCUGGCAGCGUGGAUUAGGCAUGCAAGUCGAACGGGAUCGGGAAGGUAGCAAUAUCGGCCCGUGAGAGUGGCGGAAGGGCGAGGAACACGUGAGCAACCUGUCCUUGAGGUGGGGAAAACCGUUGGAAACGACGGCUAAUACCGAAUGCGGCGCCCGGAGACAUCUCCGGCGCGCUAAAGGGGGCCGCAAGGCUCCCCCUCUUCGAGGGGCUCGCGCACCAUCAGCUUGUUGGCGGGGUAACGGCCCACCAAGGCUCACGGUUAGCUGGUCUGAGAGGAUGGCCAGCCGCACUGGGACUGAGAUACUGCCCAGACUCCUACGGGAGGCUGCAGUCGAGGAUCAUUCGCAAUGGGGGAAACCCUGACGAUGCGACGCUGCGUUGGAGGAUGAAGGCCCUCGGGUCGUAAACUCCUGUCAUGAGGGAAAAGGCGAAGGGACCCAACACGUCCCCUAGUUGAUGGUACCUCAAGAGGAACGGGCGGCUAACUCUGUGCCAGCCGCGGC
Molecule: ribosomal RNA, 514 nt
Filed under: uncultured bacterium
Lineage: Bacteria
Description: bacterial SSU rRNA
Rfam family: Bacterial small subunit ribosomal RNA
Source: RNAcentral